GGCGAAAGCCUGAUGCAGCGACGCCGCGUGAGGGAUGACGGCCUUCGGGUUGUAAACCUCUUUCAGUAGGGAAGAAGCGAAAGUGACGGUACCUGCAGAAGAAGCGCCGGCUAACUACGUGCCAGCAGCCGCGGUAAUACGUAGGGCGCAAGCGUUAUCCGGAAUUAUUGGGCGUAAAGAGCUCGUAGGCGGUUUGUCGCGUCUAUCGUGAAAGUCCGAGGCUCAACCUCGGAUCUGCGGUGGGUACGGGCAGACUAGAGUGAUGUAGGGGAGACUGGAAUUCCUGGUGUAGCGGUGAAAUGCGCAGAUAUCAGGAGGAACACCGAUGGCGAAGGCAGGUCUCUGGGCAUUAACUGACGCUGAGGAGCGAAAGCAUGGGGAGCGAACAGGAUUAGAUACCCUGGUAGUCCAUGCCGUAAACGUUGGGCACUAGGUGUGGGGGACAUUCCACGUUUUCCGCACCGUAGCUAACGCAUUAAGUGCCCCGCCUGGGGAGUACGGCCGCAAGGCUAAAACUCAAAGGAAUUGACGGGGGCCCGCACAAGCGGCGGAGCAUGCGGAUUAAUUCGAUGCAACGCGAAGAACCUUACCAAGGCUUGACAUGUGCCAGACCGCCGUGGAAACACGGUUUCCCCUUUGGGGCUGGUUCACAGGUGGUGCAUGGUUGUCGUCAGCUCGUGUCGUGAGAUGUUGGGUUAAGUCCCGCAACGAGCGCAACCCUCGUUCCAUGUUGCCAGCGCGUAAAGGCGGGGACUCAUGGGAGACUGCCGGGGUCAACUCGGAGGAAGGUGGGGACGACGUCAAAUCAUCAUGCCCCUUAUGUCUUGGGCUUCACGCAUGCUACAAUGGCCGGUACAAUGGGUUGCGAUACUGUGAGGUGGAGCUAAUCCCAAAAAGCCGGUCUCAGUUCGGAUUGGGGUCUGCAACUCGACCCCAUGAAGUCGGAGUCGCUAGUAAUCGCAGAUCAGCA
This 970-nucleotide ribosomal RNA is filed under the name uncultured Arthrobacter sp. Its description in RNAcentral is "bacterial SSU rRNA". It matches the Rfam family "Bacterial small subunit ribosomal RNA", at positions 374 to 1354 of the family's 1533-position model. Lineage: Bacteria; Bacillati; Actinomycetota; Actinomycetes; Micrococcales; Micrococcaceae. The record is from RNAcentral.